Molecule: ribosomal RNA, 253 nt
Filed under: uncultured bacterium
Lineage: Bacteria
Description: partial 16S ribosomal RNA
Rfam family: Bacterial small subunit ribosomal RNA
Source: RNAcentral
UACGGGGGGGGCAAGCGUUGUUCGGAAUUACUGGGCGUAAAGAGCUCGUAGGCGGUUUGUCGCGUCUGCCGUGAAAGUCCGGGGCUCAACUCCGGAUCUGCGGUGGGUACGGGCAGACUAGAGUGAUGUAGGGGAGACUGGAAUUCCUGGUGUAGCGGUGGAAUGCGCAGAUAUCAGGAGGAACACCAAUGGCGAAGGCAGCUCGCUGGGACGGUACUGACGCUGAGGCGCGAAAGCUAGGGGAGCAAACGGG